AGAGAGGCUUCCACGCGGUGACGUUUUGGGGGCCUUUUUCUUUUGC
RNAcentral lists this antisense RNA (46 nucleotides) under Ochrobactrum sp. P6BSIII. Its description in RNAcentral is "ctRNA". It matches the Rfam family "ctRNA". From Rfam's summary of the family: This family represents a group of ctRNAs (or counter-transcribed RNAs) from p42d and related plasmids. ctRNAs are small, highly structured, antisense sequences which are involved in negative regulation. Members of this family are known to bind to the mRNA of repC causing translational repression. This model contains the predicted stem-loop structure followed by a U-rich tract which is proposed to act as a Rho-independent transcriptional terminator. The record is from RNAcentral. Lineage: Bacteria; Pseudomonadati; Pseudomonadota; Alphaproteobacteria; Hyphomicrobiales; Brucellaceae.